This 1542-nucleotide ribosomal RNA is filed under the name Staphylococcus sp. RNAcentral's name for it is "bacterial SSU rRNA". It matches the Rfam family "Bacterial small subunit ribosomal RNA". The record is from RNAcentral. Lineage: Bacteria; Bacillati; Bacillota; Bacilli; Caryophanales; Staphylococcaceae.
GCUCAGGAUGAACGCUGGCGGCGUGCCUAAUACAUGCAAGUCGAGCGAACAGAUAAGGAGCUUGCUCCUUUGACGUUAGCGGCGGACGGGUGAGUAACACGUGGGUAACCUACCUAUAAGACUGGGAUAACUUCGGGAAACCGGAGCUAAUACCGGAUAAUAUUUCGAACCGCAUGGUUCGAUAGUGAAAGAUGGUUUUGCUAUCACUUAUAGAUGGACCCGCGCCGUAUUAGCUAGUUGGUAAGGUAACGGCUUACCAAGGCGACGAUACGUAGCCGACCUGAGAGGGUGAUCGGCCACACUGGAACUGAGACACGGUCCAGACUCCUACGGGAGGCAGCAGUAGGGAAUCUUCCGCAAUGGGCGAAAGCCUGACGGAGCAACGCCGCGUGAGUGAUGAAGGUCUUCGGAUCGUAAAACUCUGUUAUUAGGGAAGAACAUACGUGUAAGUAACUGUGCACGUCUUGACGGUACCUAAUCAGAAAGCCACGGCUAACUACGUGCCAGCAGCCGCGGUAAUACGUAGGUGGCAAGCGUUAUCCGGAAUUAUUGGGCGUAAAGCGCGCGUAGGCGGUUUUUUAAGUCUGAUGUGAAAGCCCACGGCUCAACCGUGGAGGGUCAUUGGAAACUGGAAAACUUGAGUGCAGAAGAGGAAAGUGGAAUUCCAUGUGUAGCGGUGAAAUGCGCAGAGAUAUGGAGGAACACCAGUGGCGAAGGCGACUUUCUGGUCUGCAACUGACGCUGAUGUGCGAAAGCGUGGGGAUCAAACAGGAUUAGAUACCCUGGUAGUCCACGCCGUAAACGAUGAGUGCUAAGUGUUAGGGGGUUUCCGCCCCUUAGUGCUGCAGCUAACGCAUUAAGCACUCCGCCUGGGGAGUACGACCGCAAGGUUGAAACUCAAAGGAAUUGACGGGGACCCGCACAAGCGGUGGAGCAUGUGGUUUAAUUCGAAGCAACGCGAAGAACCUUACCAAAUCUUGACAUCCUUUGACAACUCUAGAGAUAGAGCUUUCCCCUUCGGGGGACAAAGUGACAGGUGGUGCAUGGUUGUCGUCAGCUCGUGUCGUGAGAUGUUGGGUUAAGUCCCGCAACGAGCGCAACCCUUAAGCUUAGUUGCCAUCAUUAAGUUGGGCACUCUAAGUUGACUGCCGGUGACAAACCGGAGGAAGGUGGGGAUGACGUCAAAUCAUCAUGCCCCUUAUGAUUUGGGCUACACACGUGCUACAAUGGACAAUACAAAGGGCAGCGAAACCGCGAGGUCAAGCAAAUCCCAUAAAGUUGUUCUCAGUUCGGAUUGUAGUCUGCAACUCGACUACAUGAAGCUGGAAUCGCUAGUAAUCGUAGAUCAGCAUGCUACGGUGAAUACGUUCCCGGGUCUUGUACACACCGCCCGUCACACCACGAGAGUUUGUAACACCCGAAAGCCGGUGGAGUAACCAUUUUGGAGCUAGCCGUCGAAAGGUGGGACAAAUGAUUGGGGGUGAAGUCGUAACAAGGUACCCGUAUCGGAAAGGUGCGGCUGGAUCACCCUCCCUUUCUAAA